UACGGGGGGGGCAAGCGUUGUUCGGAAUUACUGGGCGUAAAGGGCUCGUAGGCGGCCAACUAAGUCGGAUGUGAAAUCCCCAGGCUUAACCUGGGAACUGCAUCCGAUACUGGAUGGCUUGAAUCCGGGAGAGGGAUGCGGAAUUCCAGGUGUAGCGGUGAAAUGCGUAGAUAUCUGGAGGAACACCGGUGGCGAAGGCGGCAUCCUGGACCGAUACUGACGCUGAGGAGCGAAAGCCAGGGGAGCAAACGGG
Molecule: ribosomal RNA, 253 nt
Filed under: uncultured bacterium
Lineage: Bacteria
Description: partial 16S ribosomal RNA
Rfam family: Bacterial small subunit ribosomal RNA
Source: RNAcentral